AACAUGUUUUUUUGAAAAUAAUUUAAAGUUUAAUCUGCCCACUGAUNAAAAUAUUAAAGGGCUGCAGUAUUUUGACUGUACAAAGGUAGCAUAAUCAUUAGUCUCUUAAUUGGUGACUUGUAUGAAAGAUUGGAUGAAAUAUAUACUGUCUCUAUUUAAUUUAUAAAAUUUAAUUUUUUAGUAAAAAAGCUAAAAUGAGUUUAAAAGACGAGAAGACCCUAUAGAGUUUAAUAAUUUAUUUAAUUAUUAUUAAUAUAUAAAUUUUAAAAUUAAGAUUAAAUAAUUUAUUUUAUUGGGGUGAUAGAAAAAUUAAAUUAACUUUUUUUUUAUUUUAUACAUUAAUUUAUGAAUAAAUGAUCUAUUAAUAAUGAUUAAAAGAAAAAAUUACCUUAGGGAUAACAGCGUAAUUUUUUUUUUUAGUUCAAAUAGAAAAAAAAGUUUGCGACCUCGAUGUUGGAUUAAGAUAAAAUUUAAAUGCAAAAGUUUAAAAUUUUAAUCUGUUCGAUCAUUAAAAUCUUA
This 519-nucleotide ribosomal RNA is filed under the name Papilio krishna mayumiae. Its description in RNAcentral is "partial 16S ribosomal RNA". The stretch from base 395 to 519 matches the Rfam family "Bacterial large subunit ribosomal RNA", at positions 2473 to 2598 of the family's 2925-position model. The record is from RNAcentral. Lineage: Eukaryota; Metazoa; Arthropoda; Insecta; Lepidoptera; Papilionidae.